AAAGUAGAGGUUGCGUCGAUCAUAAGUAGGUAGGCCGUAUGUGGCAGGCACAGAUGAGGGCUUAGGAAAGGGAAAGACGCCGAAGAAGAAAGCGAACCCUGCGGCUGCUUCCUUCUGGGCAUAUGGUAAAGAAUCAUAUGACUGUCAUCCAGGUGGAUGGGGAGCUACUGA
This 171-nucleotide non-coding RNA is filed under the name Clostridium porci. RNAcentral describes it as "Lysine riboswitch". It matches the Rfam family "Lysine riboswitch aptamer". From Rfam's summary of the family: Riboswitches are metabolite binding domains within certain messenger RNAs that serve as precision sensors for their corresponding targets. Allosteric rearrangement of mRNA structure is mediated by ligand binding, and this results in modulation of gene expression. RNAcentral also lists the same sequence under 1 other name. Lineage: Bacteria; Bacillati; Bacillota; Clostridia; Eubacteriales; Clostridiaceae. The record is from RNAcentral.